Molecule: non-coding RNA, 31 nt
Filed under: Rattus norvegicus (Norway rat)
Lineage: Eukaryota; Metazoa; Chordata; Mammalia; Rodentia; Muridae
Source: RNAcentral
UGGUCCCCGUGAUUUUGAUUUCAAGAAGUGU